RNAcentral lists this ribosomal RNA (442 nucleotides) under uncultured bacterium. Its description in RNAcentral is "partial 16S ribosomal RNA". It matches the Rfam family "Bacterial small subunit ribosomal RNA", at positions 338 to 795 of the family's 1533-position model. The record is from RNAcentral.
CCUACGGGAGGCAGCAGUAGGGAAUCUUUCACAAUGGGCGAAAGCCUGAUGGAGCAACGCCGCGUGCAGGAUGAAGGCCUUCGGGUUGUAAACUGCUUUUAUAAGCGAGGAAUAUGAUGUUAACUUAUGAGUAAGAAUCUGCUAACUACGUGCCAGCAGCCGCGGUCAUACGUAGGAUCCGAGCAUGAUGCGGAGUGACUGGGUGUAAAGAGUUGCGUAGGUGGGAUACGAAGUAGCUAGUGAAAUGUGGUGGCUCAACCAUUCAGAAUAUUAGCUAAACUGUUAAGCUCGAGACCGUUAGAGGUAAGUGGAAUUCCUAGUGUAGGAGUGAAAUGCGUAGAUAUUAGAAGGAACACCAAUAGCGUAGGCAGGUUGCUGGGACGGUUCUGACACUAAGGCACGAAAGCGUAGGGAGCAAACGGGAUUAGAUACCCGGGUAGUC